RNAcentral lists this ribosomal RNA (340 nucleotides) under uncultured bacterium. RNAcentral describes it as "bacterial SSU rRNA". It matches the Rfam family "Bacterial small subunit ribosomal RNA", at positions 28 to 363 of the family's 1533-position model. The record is from RNAcentral.
GAUGAACGCUAGCGGCAGGCUUAACACAUGCAAGUCGAGGGGCAGCGGGAUGUAGCAAUACAUUGCCGGCGACCGGCGCAAGGGUGCGUAACGCGUGAGCAACAUGCCCGUCACAGGAGGAUAAACCAUGGAAACGUGGCCUAAUACUCCAUAGUAUAUCAGAGAGGCAUCUUUUUGAUAUUAAAGCUUCGGUGGUGACGGAUUGGCUCGCGUGACAUUAGCUAGAUGGAGAGGUAACGGCUCACCAUGGCGACGAUGUCUAGGGGAACUGAGAGGUUAAUCCCCACACUGGUACUGAGACACGGACCAGACUCCGUACGGGAGGCAGCAGUGGGGAAUA